Molecule: ribosomal RNA, 480 nt
Filed under: uncultured bacterium
Lineage: Bacteria
Description: partial 16S ribosomal RNA
Rfam family: Bacterial small subunit ribosomal RNA
Source: RNAcentral
GACGAACGCUGGCGGCGUGCCUAACACAUGCAAGUCGAGCGAGUGAAUCUCCUUCGGGAGUGAAGCUAGCGGCGGACGGGUGAGUAACACGUGGGCAACCUGCCUCAUAGAGGGGAAUAGCCUUUCGAAAGGAAGAUUAAUACCGCAUAAGAUUGUAGCUUCGCAUGAAGUAGCAAUUAAAGGAGCAAUCCGCUAUGAGAUGGGCCCGCGGCGCAUUAGCUAGUUGGUGAGGUAACGGCUCACCAAGGCGACGAUGCGUAGCCGACCUGAGAGGGUGAUCGGCCACAUUGGGACUGAGACACGGCCCAGACUCCUACGGGAGGCAGCAGUGGGGAAUAUUGCACAAUGGGGGAAACCCUGAUGCAGCAACGCCGCGUGAGUGAUGACGGCCCUCGGGUUGUAAAGCUCUGUCUUCAGGGACGAUAAUGACGGUACCUGCAGAAGAAGGACCGGCCAACUACGUGCCAGCCGCCGCAGUAA